Molecule: transfer RNA, 73 nt
Filed under: Apaloderma vittatum (bar-tailed trogon)
Lineage: Eukaryota; Metazoa; Chordata; Aves; Trogoniformes; Trogonidae
Rfam family: tRNA
About the family: Transfer RNA (tRNA) molecules are approximately 80 nucleotides in length. Their secondary structure includes four short double-helical elements and three loops (D, anti-codon, and T loops).
Source: Rfam by way of RNAcentral
GGGUUGAUAGCUCAGUGGGUUGAGCGCGGUGCUGAUAACACCAAGAUCAUGAGUUCGAUUCCCGUUUGGUCCC